CUUCGUCAGAUUCGAAAAUAUAUGUCGUCUAGACGAUUAUCACAUUUUUCAUCCAGUUGUGGGUGGUCUUGACGUCGUCUGCUGCACGACUUCUUUCUGAAAAUGUCCUCACUCCAUCAUUUUCGAAUAUUGCAUUUUAUGUACAGAGUUUCUAAAAAGUCAUCAUCAUCCAUAUACACGAUGAUGAUUCAGUUUUUUUUUACAGUUCCAUCCUCUAGAGAAACCAAAGUUUUGGCAGCGACACCGAGUGAAGACCUCCAUUUUGUUGUCGAGUUUGAAUUAAUUCAACACAACCCGAGACGUGCUUAAGGGUUACAGGUGCCACUUCAAUUUACUUCCACUAAUUUGAACAACAAACCAAAACAGUAUUUAAAAUAGCAACGAGUUUUUUGAGCCACACGCAUCAACGUUCGAUUUUGUUAUUUUCACCGACUCCAAAAAAAGGAGACAACUAAAUCUUUCUUUCCCAAACAAGUGGAACUGCUCUGGUAACAGAUAGAAAUCGGCCUCUUUUCUCACGAAACAAAAAGGGAAGUUCUACUGAUGACGAUCGAUAUACAAACCGUGUAUGGACUUGACCGUAUAUCAAAUAAGCACGCGAUUUGCAUUCGAUCCCGCUGGAAAUAUUUAGCUGAAUGUUGCGACUGUUGCGUGCAUAUCAGUAGGGUGCGGCAACCACAAAACCCAAAAAGUACGCAUUUAAAAAGAAAAUUUGACAUGAAAUCCCUUUUAAUCAUUUCUCUUUCAGAAGAAACAAACAAAUUCGUGACUAUAAUAAUUUACUACAACAUACGUAAAAAAAAACGAACAUACUUUCUAUCUUUAUAAUCUCUGACGUUUAGGAAUUUUCAGCUAUAUCAUUGGUUUAAAUGGUGGCUCAACUCAAGUGGAUUUCAAGAUGACCACCAUAAAAACCAUUUGGGGGAAAAACAUUUA
Molecule: long non-coding RNA, 936 nt
Organism: Daphnia carinata
Lineage: Eukaryota; Metazoa; Arthropoda; Branchiopoda; Diplostraca; Daphniidae
Exons: 3
Source: RefSeq, a predicted model, not a curated record